This 619-nucleotide ribosomal RNA is filed under the name uncultured bacterium. RNAcentral describes it as "bacterial SSU rRNA". It matches the Rfam family "Bacterial small subunit ribosomal RNA", at positions 566 to 1179 of the family's 1533-position model. The record is from RNAcentral.
GGCGUGUAGGCGGCCUGUUAAGUCAGGGGUGAAACUCCGGGGCUCAACCCCGGGCGUGCCUCUGAAACUGAUGGGCUUGAGUGCUCUAGAGGGCAGUGGAAUUCCCGGUGUAGCAGUGAAAUGCAUAGAGAUCGGGAGGAACACCAGUGGCGAAGGCGGCUGCCUGGGGAGUAACUGACGCUGAGGCGCGAAAGCUAGGGGAGCAAACAGGAUUAGAUACCCUGGUAGUCCUAGCCGUAAACGAUGAGUGCUAUGUGUGAGGGGUAUCGACCCCCCUCGUGCAGUAGUUAACGCAAUAAGCACUCCGCCUGGGGAGUACGGCCGCAAGGCUGAAACUCAAAGGAAUUGACGGGGGCCCGCACAAGCAGCGGAGCAUGUGGUUUAAUUCGAAGCAACGCGUAGAACCUUACCAGGGCUUGACAUCCGCCGAAUCCUGCAGAAAUGCGGGAGUGCUCCUUCGGGAGAACGGCGAGACAGGUGGUGCAUGGUUGUCGUCAGCUCGUGUCGUGAGAUGUUGGGUUAAGUCCCGCAACGAGCGCAACCCCUGUCGCAUGUUGCCAGCACGUAAAGGUGGGGACUCAUGCGAGACUGCCGGUGACAAACCGGAGGAAGGUGGGGA